CGGCGUGCUUAACACAUGCAAGUCGAACGCGAAAGGGACUUCGGUCCUGAGUAAAGUGGCGCACGGGUGAGUAACGCGUAGAUAACCUGUCUUCAUGUCUGGAAUAAUACGCCGAAAGGGGUACUAAUACCGGAUAUUCUUGCUUUUCAUAAGUUAUGCAAGCAAAGGUGGCCUCUGCAUAUGCUACUGCAUGAAGAGGGGUCUGCGUACCAUUAGCUAGUAGGUGGGGUAAUGGCCUACCUAGGCGACGAUGGUUAGCGGGUCUGAGAGGAUGAUCCGCCACACUGGCACUGGAACACGGGCCAGACUCCUACGGGAGGCAGCAGUGAGGAAUAUUGCGCAAUGGGGGAAACCCUGACGCAGCGACGCCGCGUGAGUGAAGGAAGGCCUUCGGGUCGUAAAGCUCUGUCAAGAGGAAAGAAGUGUACAAUGGCUAAUACCUGUUGUAUUUGACGGUACCUCUAAAGGAAGCACCGGCUAACUCCGUGCCAGCCGCAGC
This 499-nucleotide ribosomal RNA is filed under the name uncultured bacterium. RNAcentral describes it as "bacterial SSU rRNA". It matches the Rfam family "Bacterial small subunit ribosomal RNA", at positions 40 to 518 of the family's 1533-position model. The record is from RNAcentral.